UGCUAGUCGUACGAGUUCACACUCGUGGCGGAAAGCUCAGUAACACGUGGCCAAGCUACCCUGUGGACAGGAAUACUCUCGGGAAACUGAGGCUAAUGCCUGAUACAGCUUCCAGCCWGGAGUGGCGGAAGCUGGAAAUGCCCCGGCGCCACAGGAUGCGGCUGCGGCCGAUUAGGUAGACGGUGGGGUAACGGCCCACCGUGCCAGUAAUCGGUACGGGUGAUGAAAGUCAGAGCCCGGAGACGGUAUCUGAGACAAGAUACCGGGCCCUACGGGGCGCAGCAGGCGCGAAACCUUUACACUGCACGCCAGUGCGAUAGGGGGACUCCGAGUGCGAGGGCAUACAGUCCUCGCUUUUCUAGACCGUAAGGAGGUCCAGGAACAAGGGCUGGGCAAGACCGGUGCCAGCCGCCGCGGUAAUACCGGCAGCCCAAGUGAUGGCCGAUAUUAUUGGGCCUAAAGCGUCCGUAGCCGGCCGGACAAGUUCGUUGGGAAAUCCACGCGCUUAACGCGUGGGCGUCCAGCGAAAACUGUCCGGCUUGGGGCCGGAGGACUCGAGGGGUACGUUCGGGGUAGGAGUGAAAUCCCGUAAUCCUGAACGGACCACCGGUGGCGAAAGCGCCUCGAGAGGACGGACCCGACGGUGAGGGACGAAAGCCAGGGUCUCGAACCGGAUUAGAUACCCGGGUAGUCCUGGCUGUAAACGAUGUCUGCUAGGUGUGGCGCAGGCUACGAGCCUGCGCUGUGCCGUAGGGAAGCCGUGAAGCAGACCGCCUGGGAAGUACGUCUGCAAGGAUGAAACUUAAAGGAAUUGGCGGGGGAGCACUACAACCGGAGGAGCCUGCGGUUUAAUUGGACUCAACGCCGGACAUCUCACCGGCACCGACAGUAGCUGUGAAGGUCAGUUUGAUGAGCUUACUGGAGCUACUGAGAGGAGGUGCAUGGCCGCCGUCAGCUCGUACCGUGAGGCGUCCUGUUAAGUCAGGCAACGAGCGAGACCCGCAUCUCUAGUUGCCAGCAACACCAUUGGUGGUUGGGUACACUAGAGAGACUGCCGCUGCCAAAGCGGAGGAAGGAACGGGCAACGGUAGGUCAGUAUGCCCCGAAUGUGCCGGGCAACACGCGGGCUACAAUGGCCGAGACAAUGGGAAGCCAUCUCGAGAGGGAGCGCUAAUCCCCUAAACUCGGUCGUAGUUCGGAUUGAGGGCUGAAACUCGCCCUCAUGRAGCUGGAUUCGGUAGUAGUCGCGUGUCACUAGCGCGCGGCGAAUACGUCCCUGCUCCUUGCACACACCGCCCGUCAAAGCACCCGAGUGAGGUCCGGAUGAGGCUAUCAUGCGAUAGUCGAAYCUGGGCUUCGCAAGGGGGCUUAAGUCGUAACAAGGUAACCGUA
Molecule: ribosomal RNA, 1392 nt
Filed under: uncultured archaeon
Lineage: Archaea
Description: 16S ribosomal RNA
Rfam family: Archaeal small subunit ribosomal RNA
Source: RNAcentral